CAAGAAAGUGCUAAUCAUGUUUCCCGGUGAAUGAUCCAGAAACCAAAGACUUCUGAAGGCUUGCUGAUGGGGUUUAGCAAUAUCACCAGGCGUUUCUUUUCUCCUCUCUCGACGACCCACUUGUUCUUAACCAUUCUCAACGCAUUCCUAUUAUUAUAGAGCCACGAAUUGGGGAUUGGUUUCUCAUCCUAUUCUUAUUCAUAGUUUCGCUUCGCUACCUCUUGGAAGAUCCAUUUUGUUGUGUUUUUAUUCGGGUUUUAGAAAAUGGUCGAACGGAAGCUCUUUAAAACGAAGUUAUGUGUAUUGUAUCAAAAGGGUCAUUGUUCGCGCCAGAAUUGCUCCUUCGCCCAUGGAAGUGUUGAGCUUCGACAAUUUUUGGGUUCUUAUAAUGGUAAGUGGGACCAUCGAGGUGGUGACUUGAGGGAUAAGCUUCACAAGAGGCUUUCUCCUGAGUGUAGAUAUUCUCCAGGAAGAAAUACAAGAGGCUGGCACACAUAUCGUGGACCUAGCCCUUCCAGGUCCCUUGAGAAAAAUAGUGACAGAAAACACAGGAAAAAACGGCAUUUUGGUGGUCAAAGUGAUUUAUCUGGAAGUCUGAAAAGCUCAGAUGCGGCAGAAGAUCAAGUUAAAAGAAGAAAAAGUGCAUCAAGUGAUUCUAGAAUUGUUCUUAAGGUGAAGCAAAGAGAAGUACAGUUAGAGAUUGACAUGCUUGAUCAACAAAAUUCUCAAUUAAAGGUCAGUCUAAUUAGUUAUUAUUUUUGGUUAUGACUCAGUGCAGUUCUUUUUUCCUUAAGUUUGUUUUGUUGUUUUAUAUUUCUUUAACCUACCAAUUAGUUAUUUAUAUUGAAAUUAUUAGGUUAUAUGAUUCUAUAUCUUCCUUGAAUUUUUUGUCAUGCCACCUUUUGUUGCAAAUGGUUUUGGGGUGUAUAUACUUGUGUUAUUUUAUCUUUACCUUUGGUGUUAGUUCCUUUUGUUUUCAUGUGAAACCAAGGAAUACAUUUUGUUGUUUGAUGCUUGUAUUUUGAAGACCUUAGUAGAAGAGAAAGUUGAAGAAGCAGAUAUUCUAACUUCCAGAAUUCAGGAGCUUGAUUGUCAAUUGUCCAAAGAAAAAGAGGAGUGUAAAAGAACCAUUUCAAAAAUCAAGAAGUUUGUCAAAGCACAUAAGCAUUAUGUUCAUGUUCAAGAGGAUUUGAAAAGGUCACAAGUUCGACUUCAGAGGCAGGGAGAUCACCUUGGCUCUGGCACUAUUACAAUUGGAGCAAAUGAAGAGGAUUCAAGCAUCAAUAUUGUCAGUGAUGGAGAUGCUCCUGGUUAUCUUCCUGUCAUCCCACAGAAUGAGGUGCUGAAUAAUUAUUCUCCUGGCAAGAAAGGUCUGCAUGUUAAACGUGAUACUACAGAUGAAACGACAAAAGCAAAUUUAACCAAUGGUGGAGGAUAUCAUACUGGGACUAUGAGACGGGGGAAGCUUUCUCAAUUAAGUGAACACCCUGGGCAAUUGAUUAUCAACAAGGAAGUUGAGAUGGCAGACAGUGGGAAUGAUGUUCAUCAUCCUACUGGAAAUGAAAGUAAACAAAAGAGAGGAAAGAGUGUUUCUGCAAGCAUCCCUUCUGCAGAUAAGGUUAUCUCCCCCCCAAUCCCCUCUUUUCCCUUGAUGCUCUUUUUUUCCUGUGUUGGAGAUUUUAUUUUGUUAUCAACUGGUGGUGCUGCUUUUGAUCAGUUUGUGGUACAGGUAUCAAGCUUUCUUUGUAUUUUGCAUGUAUACUUUCAUUAUGAGUUCAUGACAUGAGGGCCUUCACAGUUAAAAAUAUAAGAUUGCCUUGGUAAUUUGAAGAAUGAUGUAAAAAUGAAGUAAAAUGUGCAAAAGGGAGAGCUGUAGCCAGGAGUAUCAGGAGGCACAAGUUUUGUGACAUUUCAAAUGUCUUAUAAUUUUAUCAACACAGAGUGUUUGAAAAUGCACUGUGGUGUCAACAGAUACAGAGUUGGCUGUUCUGGAGCCCAUUUAAUUCUGCACCACCACUGAGUCCUAGGGAUUGGUAGAUUCUCAGUUUGCUUACCCACUUUUUCCUUUUUAUAGGGACUAUUAUUAUGUUUGCUUGCUUGGACCUGUUAUUAAAUAAAAUAUUUGAGGAGCUUCUAAAACUUUGAUGCUGUGUCUGUUUGGGCAUGAGAAAGAAAUAUUGAGGGAGAGAGAGGACUGCAAGAGAUGUGCUUUCACUAUUCAUCAUUGCAUCUGUUGAAAUUCAUUAAGAAAAUAUUCAGCUGUUUGCAUAAUUGAUUGAUUGCUCAGCUAAAGGGUUCAGGCUCGGGCCUUUUGGCACCAUCAACCAGCAUGGCUGCUCAUGCAGUUGAUGAAUUAGUCGACAUUGAAGUGGAGGAGAAUAUUGAGGUGGUUGAAACUGCUUCAGUGGAGAUUGAUAAAGGAGCCACUACAUAUGGGGUCAGAAGGUUGCCUUUUUUGCUUCCUCUUCCUCUUCGAGUCCCUCAGAGUACGUACUCACAGGUUGGUUCAGUUAUUGAUCAGUAUUGCAUUAGAUUCUGGCUUGCAUGCUCAGUUCACAAUCCCACAAGAGAUGACUUGGGUAUGUGGAUAGUGUUCUAGCUAUAUUAUCAAAAUGUGUCAUAUCAUUGUUUCUGAAAUUGAAAUCUCAUGCUAGUAUGUUUAAGAUUUGGCUAAUUGCUAUGCAUCUGUUUUAUUUUCAUCCACCUGACAUUGAGAUGUUUUGGCCUUGACUAUCAGUACAAGGGCAAAAACAAGAAUGUUGAUGUUGAAGGGCUGGAGGAGAUGGUAGAUGUUGACAUUGUUUGAAUCCAUAACGGUUCUGUAAAGGAUUUUAUAUCUUUUGAUAUGGCUCAUUUAUGAUCAGCAGAUUGGAAUCAGAAAUUGGCGAUCUUCAUGUAGAUAGUUUUGGGUUAUAAUCAGCCUGGAAUUCUAUUGUUGUUUUGUUUUCUAUCAGGAGUUAAAUUUAUAAAUUUGUUGCUUAUCAAAGGGUGUUCUUCAGAGAGUUAACAACUCCUGAUGUGUGGUCUUGAAAUGAUUAGUAAAACAUGAAAAUGCAUAGUCGGUGGCUCACACAAAUUAGGGUUCAAGGGGUGAUAAAUUUAACAAUUGGCUGAAUAGGUGGAAAGUAAAAUUGUGCCUAAUAAAUAUUCAAAUACGCUAUUUAUGUGUCUAAAUAGAUUAUUUGGUGGCCCUUCUGUAAAAAUCUGAAUUGAUAUGAUCUUUCCCUUUUGGGCACGCUUAAAAAUGAAAAAGCUCUAUUAACAAAUUCCAAGGUAAUUGUGUCCCUUCUAUUAGUACUGAAAAAAGGGCUUAACAUUAAAAUAAUAAAUGUUCAAACUAUGAUGUUAAUCAAGCUGAACUCUAACUGGAUUUGCAACCUUUGUUUUCUACCUGAAAGUGAACAGUCCAAGUUGAGGAGGAAUUAUUGGGCUUAAAGCUCAAUUACAC
This 3448-nucleotide unclassified non-coding RNA is filed under the name Hevea brasiliensis (rubber tree). The record is from RNAcentral. Lineage: Eukaryota; Viridiplantae; Streptophyta; Magnoliopsida; Malpighiales; Euphorbiaceae.